GAUGAACGCUGGCGGCGUGCCUAAUACAUGCAAGUCGAGCGAACAGACGAGGAGCUUGCUCCUUUGACGUUAGCGGCGGACGGGUGAGUAACACGUGGGUAACCUACCUAUAAGACUGGGAUAACUUCGGGAAACCGGAGCUAAUACCGGAUAAUAUUUCGAACCGCAUGGUUCGAUAGUGAAAGAUGGCUUUGCUAUCACUUAUAGAUGGACCUGCGCCGUAUUAGCUAGUUGGUAAGGUAACGGCUUACCAAGGCAACGAUACGUAGCCGACCUGAGAGGGUGAUCGGCCAAAAUGGAACUGAGACACGGUCCAGACUCCUACGGGAGGCAGCAGUAGGGAAUCUUCCGCAAUGGGCGAAAGCCUGACGGAGCAACGCCGCGUGAGUGAUGAAGGUCUUCGGAUCGUAAAACUCUGUUAUUAGGGAAGAACAAACGUGUAAGUAACUGUGCACGUCUUGACGGUACCUAAUCAGAAAGCCACGGCUAACUACGUG
Molecule: ribosomal RNA, 497 nt
Filed under: uncultured bacterium
Lineage: Bacteria
Description: partial 16S ribosomal RNA
Rfam family: Bacterial small subunit ribosomal RNA
Source: RNAcentral